Molecule: ribosomal RNA, 253 nt
Filed under: uncultured bacterium
Lineage: Bacteria
Description: partial 16S ribosomal RNA
Rfam family: Bacterial small subunit ribosomal RNA
Source: RNAcentral
UACGUAGGGGGCAAGCGUUGUCCGGAUUCAUUGGGCGUAAAGAGCGUGUAGGCGGCCAGGUAGGUCGGUUGUGAAAACUGGAGGCUCAACCUUCAGAGGUCGACCGAAACCAUCUGGCUAGAGUCCGGGAGAGGAGAGUGGAAUUCCUGGUGUAGCGGUGAAAUGCGUAGAUAUCUGGAGGAACACCGGUGGCGAAGGCGGCAUUCUGGACUACAACUGACACUGAGGAACGAAAGCCAGGGGAGCAAACGGG